GACGAACGCUGGCGGCGUGCUUAACACAUGCAAGUCGAACGGAAAGGCCCUGCUUUUGUGGGGUGCUCGAGUGGCGAACGGGUGAGUAACACGUGAGUAACCUGCCCUUGACUUUGGGAUAACUUCAGGAAACUGGGGCUAAUACCGGAUAGGAGCUCCUGCUGCAUGGUGGGGGUUGGAAAGUUUCGGCGGUUGGGGAUGGACGCGCGGCUUAUGAGCUUGUUGGUGGGGUAGUGGAUUACCCAGGCGUUGACGGGUAGCCGGCCUGAGAGGGUGACCGGCCACAGAGGGCCUGGGGUACGGCCCAGGCGGAAACGUGGGGCAGGGGUGGGGAACUGAGCACAAUGGGCCGAAGGGGGAUGGAGCAACGUCGCGUGCGGGAGGACGGCCGUCGGGUUGGAAAACGAGUUCGCUUGUGACGAAGCGUGAGGGACGGUAAUGGGGAAAGAAGCACCGGCUACCUACGU
This 467-nucleotide ribosomal RNA is filed under the name uncultured bacterium. RNAcentral describes it as "partial 16S ribosomal RNA". It matches the Rfam family "Bacterial small subunit ribosomal RNA", at positions 28 to 506 of the family's 1533-position model. The record is from RNAcentral.